ACGGGUGAGUAAUACAUCGGAACGUGCCCAGUAGUGGGGGAUAGCCCGGCGAAAGCCGGAUUAAUACCGCAUACGACCUACGGGUGAAAGCGGGGGAUCGCAAGACCUCGCGCUAUUGGAGCGGCCGAUGUCAGAUUAGCUAGUUGGUGGGGUAAAAGCCUACCAAGGCGACGAUCUGUAGCUGGUCUGAGAGGACGACCAGCCACACUGGGACUGAGACACGGCCCAGACUCCUACGGGAGGCAGCAGUGGGGAAUUUUGGACAAUGGGCGCAAGCCUGAUCCAGCCAUGCCGCGUGCGGGAAGAAGGCCUUCGGGUUGUAAACCGCUUUUGUCAGGGAAGAAACGGCCUGAUCUAAUACAUCGGGCUAAUGACGGUACCUGAAGAAUAAGCACCGGCUAACUACGUGCCAGCAGCCGCGGUAAUACGUAGGGUGCAAGCGUUAAUCGGAAUUACUGGGCGUAAAGCGUGCGCAGGCGGCUUUGCAAGACAGAUGUGAAAUCCCCGGGCUCAACCUGGGAACUGCAUUUGUGACUGCAUGGCUAGAGUGCGGCAGAGGGGGAUGGAAUUCCGCGUGUAGCA
Molecule: ribosomal RNA, 582 nt
Filed under: proteobacterium StTD340
Lineage: Bacteria; Pseudomonadati; Pseudomonadota
Description: bacterial SSU rRNA
Rfam family: Bacterial small subunit ribosomal RNA
Source: RNAcentral